RNAcentral lists this ribosomal RNA (501 nucleotides) under Salmonella enterica subsp. enterica serovar Typhimurium. RNAcentral describes it as "bacterial SSU rRNA". It matches the Rfam family "Bacterial small subunit ribosomal RNA", at positions 1 to 489 of the family's 1533-position model. Lineage: Bacteria; Pseudomonadati; Pseudomonadota; Gammaproteobacteria; Enterobacterales; Enterobacteriaceae. The record is from RNAcentral.
UUAAAUUGAAGAGUUUGAUCAUGGCUCAGAUUGAACGCUGGCGGCAGGCCUAACACAUGCAAGUCGAACGGUAACAGGAAGCAGCUUGCUGCUUYGCUGACGAGUGGCGGACGGGUGAGUAAUGUCUGGGAAACUGCCUGAUGGAGGGGGAUAACUACUGGAAACGGUGGCUAAUACCGCAUAACGUCGCAAGACCAAAGAGGGGGACCUUCGGGCCUCUUGCCAUCAGAUGUGCCCAGAUGGGAUUAGCUUGUUGGUGAGGUAACGGCUCACCAAGGCGACGAUCCCUAGCUGGUCUGAGAGGAUGACCAGCCACACUGGAACUGAGACACGGUCCAGACUCCUACGGGAGGCAGCAGUGGGGAAUAUUGCACAAUGGGCGCAAGCCUGAUGCAGCCAUGCCGCGUGUAUGAAGAAGGCCUUCGGGUUGUAAAGUACUUUCAGCGGGGAGGAAGGUGUUGYGGUUAAUAACCGCAGCAAUUGACGUUACCCGCAGAAGAA